AGUAACGCGUGGAUAACCUGCCGUAUGCAGGGGGAUACCAACUGGAAACAGUUGCUAAUACCGCAUAAGCGCACAGCACCGCAUGGUGCAGUGUGAAAAGAUUUAUCGGCAUACGAUAGAUCCGCGUCCGAUUAGCCAGUUGGCGGGGUAGAAGCCCACCAAAGCGACGAUCGGUAGCCGGCCUGAGAGGGCGGACGGCCACAUUGGGACUGAGACACGGCCCAAACUCCUACGGAAGGCAGCAG
RNAcentral lists this ribosomal RNA (245 nucleotides) under uncultured bacterium. RNAcentral describes it as "partial 16S ribosomal RNA". It matches the Rfam family "Bacterial small subunit ribosomal RNA", at positions 109 to 354 of the family's 1533-position model. The record is from RNAcentral.